AGUGAGAUAGCUGGGUCAAAUGGUGGUUCCAUUCCAAGUUUUUUGAGCAAUCUCCAUAUCACUUUCCAUAGUGGUUGCACCAAUUUGCAUUCCCACCAGCAAU
Molecule: microRNA precursor, 103 nt
Filed under: Marmota monax (woodchuck)
Lineage: Eukaryota; Metazoa; Chordata; Mammalia; Rodentia; Sciuridae
Source: RNAcentral